This 1251-nucleotide long non-coding RNA is filed under the name Capsicum annuum. Its description in RNAcentral is "long non-coding RNA (CANN_LNC015377)". The record is from RNAcentral. Lineage: Eukaryota; Viridiplantae; Streptophyta; Magnoliopsida; Solanales; Solanaceae.
UAGAUUUUUGACAUGAAAGGAGAGAAAACUUUUCAAAUUUUUGCUGCAGAUUUGAUAGUUUUUUUGAUAAGAUUUGGGAAAUAGAAAAAUUCUUGAGAUUAAUAGAAAAAUUCUUGAGAUUAAUAGCUGACGAUCUACCGUCAAAAUAUUAAUACUAUUCACAACCUUUUGUACGACCAAUGUGACGUUUACAAAUAGCAAUAUUUAUGUUGAUGAGUAUUGUAAGUGAAUAUGAGUAUGUAGGUUUAAUGAUUUUAAUUUGCUUUUAAUUCCGCAACACAAUUCUACUCCUCCACCUUUAAAUAUCACCCAUCCUCUUUUCCUAACAAUAUCACUCAUUCAUUAGCUUAAUAAACAAAUCAACAAAUCCUUUUAGAAUACAAACACCAUGUUUCUUCCUCAAAUGAAAAUGGAUGUCUGGUCCGAAGGAGAAGACGGUAUCAUACAGUCUGGGAGAUCAAGUUCAGUGGCGGAUCUGCAUACAAUUCAGGGGUUUAUCUUCGUCGAAAAAUUAUACUAUUUUUACAUGAUCAAAAAUAUUUUUAUGUAUAUAUAUAUUAGAUAUUGAACUUCUUUCAAUUAGUUCAUAUUUUACUUCUAAACUCCUUCAGUAAAAAUUUUGGCUCUGUCACUGAUCAAGUUGUUGAAAGAUGAGUUGUGGACCUUAACCAGUUUGUGGAACAGCUUAAGCGAGAUACGUGGAAGUUGAGCAUCGUUUUCAUGCCUACAUACGGGAGGUUAACAAUGCCCACAAGAAUGAUGGUGGAGAGGCUGGUAGGGGCGGUGUUUUUUUAAUUUAUUUUUUUGGUUUUCUGUUCGGUGGUCGGUUUCUGCAUUAGAACCCGACUAAUUCAGAUUCGCACUGGGUAGGAUCCGGUCGGGAUAGCGCUUCCAACAGAAUUUUCUUCAUACCCAGAAUCAAAUUCUCAAACUUUGGUUAAAGAUCGAACAACCUCAUUCAUUGUAACACAACCAUGUUGGUGAUAGGUGCAGUGUUGAUGCUACUUAGGUGGUUUUUUUUUGUUAUUGUUGUUUUAUUCCAGUAUUUUUUUUAUUUUCAUUAUAGCGGUGGCAUGGAUGUUAUCCUAUUAUCAGUUAAUGUUCUUUUUAGUUUUUAGUUAAUAUUCGUCUUGUUAUUACCUCUAUACAAACACUAGAUCUCACAAUAUUCAAUCAAAAUGCAAAAUAUAUUACUAAGAAAAACUAACUUACCGAAAACUGUUUCUACAAACAAAAUCUAUUGAUGACCUU